CUGGAUUCCUCAUGAAAUCGAACCUCUCUGGCGGAUAAUUUUCAGACGAGCUUCUACAUCAGGCAAAAUACAGACGGACUUCUCUAGCAAUCGGGCUCCUGCCAGACUUCUCCAAUAGAAAGUCUCCGUCUGAGCUUCUACAACAGAUGACUUCCACCUGCAGCAUCAGUGCCCAAGACACCCGACAAUAGUGGACUUGUCAGCAACCUCGAAAACAUCCGAGCCUCUCUUAGAUUACUGAGGCAUAGAGCCAGUCCGCUCCCUCAGACGUCCCAGCC
This 278-nucleotide long non-coding RNA is filed under the name Elaeis guineensis (African oil palm). RNAcentral's name for it is "long non-coding RNA (EGUI_LNC068355)". Lineage: Eukaryota; Viridiplantae; Streptophyta; Magnoliopsida; Arecales; Arecaceae. The record is from RNAcentral.